Ipomoea nil (Japanese morning glory) is the source of this 1432-nucleotide long non-coding RNA. RefSeq lists it as uncharacterized. Lineage: Eukaryota; Viridiplantae; Streptophyta; Magnoliopsida; Solanales; Convolvulaceae. The record is from RefSeq and is a predicted model, not a curated record. The transcript has 4 exons.
AGAGCGGACGCUUCGCCUUCUUUAUCCUCUCUCUCCUCUCUCUCGAACAUUCUCCCGUUCUCUGUCUCUUGGUCCGAAUGUCUCCAAUCCAACCUAUAAUCUCAGCUCUACGACCAAUAAUCGUUCUCUACAUCAGUCUUUCACUUGUACUAUAAAAUCGCGAGGUUGAUUUCAAACCCAAAUUUCAGAAAACCUAUGAGAUAAGUUAUCUGGUCUAUCUAUUUUAUACUGACUUUUUCGACUAAUUAUUUCGAUUUUCUUGCCUAUUUUGUUGCUCAUGUUAGUUUAAGAUUAGAUUAGUGUUUUCCUAUGUACAUCAAAUAGGGUGAUUUGGUUCAAAAGCUGUUUAUUUAAACUCUAGACCUUUAUGCUAUAUUUUGGUGAUUUGGUUCAAUGUUCUGUGGAUCAUGUAUGUUUAAUUAUAGUUCUUUAUUAGAAACUGGGAAUAUAAAUUCCUGUUUAUUGAGCAUGAAUUCUGUAGUUCAUGUAUCCUAUCCUAAGUUGUAAACUGAUACUAACUAAUUUAACAACUACUAAUUCUUGCAGCUUAAUGCAAUUUCAAAAAUAAUUGAUUCAGAAGAUGAAGGCUAAACAUCAGAAGGUAGUUAAAGAAAUGUAAAGACUGUUAAUGUAACAUGCAUACAUCAAGCUAUUAUCUAUAAAAUAGUAGGAUAUGUGGUUCAAAAUGAGAGCUUGAUAUCCAGCGCUUCCCGAUUAAGCCAUGUGAUACAGUACCAAAAGGAAUCCUUACUCUAGAUCCAUAGUUGGUGUAACCUUGGAGGUCAUUCAGAAGAAGAGAGCUGAAAAAACAGAAGCCAGGGAUGCUGUUAGGGAGGGCGGGAGGCUGCACUCAGAUGUAGAGGAAAAGCUGAGAAAUUUGAAAAAAAAAAAAAAAAAAUUACUUUCAAGAUAAACAUGAUAAAGAUAGAUAGAGAAGGAUUAAAUAAGUGGUAACAACCAUUUUUGAAGUAAGGUAUGCUCAGAACUAUACCUUUAAUUUUUCUGAAUAUACAUUGCAAUCCUCAACUGCAAUGCUUUUCAAGUUCAAGCUGAAUGACUUCCCCAACACCCAUGAAUACCAGCAUGGUCUGCAAUCAACUUCCGAAUCUCUACCUCAUCCAUGUACUGAGAUGGCAUGGUAUCUUCGCUGCUGUUUUUUGUCUUUUCUUUGUGUAUUUGCAGGUGGUUCGAAGUGGAUAGAUGGUGAAUUUGGGACUGCAGAUUGCUAUCAUGGGAGCUUUAUAUAGAGGCUGAACAGUGACUUUUCGAAUUUGAACUGUCUUAGAAAUAUGAAAGGCUGAUCAAAACGUUUCAUAGUCCAAGAUUACAUUCAUUAUGCUUAUGUUCUCGAUGUAUUUAUUAUUCUGAAUAUUGGGUGAUGUUCCAAGAUAAAUUACCUAGAAUACUGAUAUGCAAUGUGAACAUCAAUAAA